AAUUCCAAUCGAACCCGGAGAUAGCUGGUUCUCCUCGAAAUAGCUUUAGGGCUAGCCUCAUACAAGUCUUGCGGAGGUAGAGCACUGAAUUCCUACGGGGGCGUCAAAGCUUACCAAGGGAUAUCAAACUCCGAAUGCCGUGUAGAUGAUGUAUGGGAGUCAGACUAUCCGAGAUAAGUUGGGUAGUCGAAAGGGAAAGAGCCCAGACCUGCAGCUAAGGCCCCAAAAUGUGUGUUAAGUGGAAAAGGAUGUGGGAUUUCGAAGACAACUAGGAUGUUGGCUUAGAAGCAGCCAUCCAUUAAAAGAGUGCGUAAUAGCUCACUAGUCGAGAGGUCCUGCGCCGAAAAUGUCCGGGGCUGAAACACACUGCCGAAGCUCAGGGAUGAACAGUGAUCAAUACAGAUCAAUGCAAGAGGAAAGCUUCUUGAUGAAAUCAAGAAGAUUCCAAAACAGAUGAAACAGACUGCUGUUGGUCUGCGUUGAUCACUGUUCAUCGGUAGAGGAGCAUUCUUAAAGAGACGAAGCUGUACCGAAAGGAGCAGUGGAUUUUUAAGAAGAGAGAAUGCCGGAAUGAGUAGCGAGAAAGAGGUGAGAAUCCUCUUGGCCGAAUAUCUAAGGUUUCCAGGGUAAAGCUGAUCUGCCCUGGGUAAGUCGGGGCCUAAGGCGAGGUCGAAAGACGUAGUCGAUGGAUAACAGGUUGAAAUUCCUGUACUAUCCUGUAACAGAACUGUGGGGACGCAGACAGAGAGCACAAGCCGGGAAUGGAAAGACCGGUGCAAGCGAGGUAGGAGUACAUCAGGCAAAUCCGGUGUGCAAUCCGAAGACGUGAUGCGGAUCGAAAAGAAGUAGAGAAGUGUGUGAGCUGGCUGCCAAGAAAAGCCGCUAUUGUUUACAGGAUACCCGUACCGUAAACCGACACAGGUGGAUGAGGAGAGAAUCCUAAGGCCGACGGGAGAAGCAUUGUUAAGGAACUCGGCAAAAUGACUCCGUAACUUCGGGAGAAGGAGUGCCAUGCGAAUGGCCGCAGAGAAUUGGCCCAAGCAACUGUUUAGCAAAAACACAGGUCUAUGCGAAACCGAAAGGUGAGGUAUAUGGGCUGACGCCUGCCCGGUGCUGGAAGGUUAAGGGGAGAGGUUAGCGCAAGCGAAGCUUUGAACUUAAGCCCCAGUAAACGGCGGCCGUAACUAUAACGGUCCUAAGGUAGCGAAAUUCCUUGUCGGGUAAGUUCCGACCCGCACGAAAGGCGUAAUGAUUUGGGCACUGUCUCAACAAUGCACCCGGUGAAAUUGAAAUACCAGUGAAGAUGCUGGUUACCUGCGCCAGGACGGAAAGACCCCAUGGAGCUUUACUCUAGCUUGAUACUGGGAUUCGAUAUUGCAUGUACAGGAUAGGUGGGAGACUAGGAAGUGGUGACGCCAGUUGCCAUGGAGUCAAUGUUGGGAUACCACCCUUGCAGUAUUGGGUUUCUAACCAGCAGCCGUGAUCCGGCUGGGGGACAAUGUCAGGUGGGGAGUUUGACUGGGGCGGUCGCCUCCGAAAGGGUAUCGGAGGCGCUCAAAGGUUCCCUCAGAAUGGUUGGAAACCAUUCGAAGAGUGCAAAGGCAGAAGGGAGCUUGACUGCGACACCGACGGGUGGAGCAGGUACGAAAGUAGGACUUAGUGAUCCGGUGGUAUAAAGUGGGAUUGCCAUCGCUCAACGGAUAAAAGCUACCCUGGGGAUAACAGGCUUAUCACUCCCAAGAGUUCACAUCGACGGAGUGGUUUGGCACCUCGAUGUCGGCUCAUCGCAUCCUGGGGCUGUAGUCGGUCCCAAGGGUUGGGCUGUUCGCCCAUUAAAGCGGUACGCGAGCUGGGUUCAGAACGUCGUGAGACAGUUCGGUCCCUAUCCGGCGUGGGCGUAGGAUAUUUGAGAGGAGCUGCCCUUAGUACGAGAGGACCGGGGUGGACUGGCCGCUGGUGUAUCUGUUGUAUUACCAAGUGCAUAGCAGAGUAGCCAAGCCGGGAAGGGAUAAACGCUGAAGGCAUCUAAGCGUGAAGCCCCCCUCAAGAUGAGAUAUCCCAUAACGUCAAGUUAGUAAGACCCCUUGAAGACGACGAGGUAGAUAGGGCAGAGGUGGAAGUGUGGCAACACAUGGAGCUGACUGUUACUAAUAGGUCGAGGGCAUAACCAA
RNAcentral lists this ribosomal RNA (2171 nucleotides) under Lachnospiraceae bacterium 3_1_46FAA. RNAcentral's name for it is "bacterial LSU rRNA". It matches the Rfam family "Bacterial large subunit ribosomal RNA", at positions 825 to 2925 of the family's 2925-position model. The record is from RNAcentral. Lineage: Bacteria; Bacillati; Bacillota; Clostridia; Lachnospirales; Lachnospiraceae.